RNAcentral lists this ribosomal RNA (505 nucleotides) under uncultured bacterium. RNAcentral's name for it is "partial 16S ribosomal RNA". It matches the Rfam family "Bacterial small subunit ribosomal RNA", at positions 29 to 523 of the family's 1533-position model. The record is from RNAcentral.
AGUGAACGCUGGCGGUAGGCCUACACAUGCAAGUCGAACGGCAGCACAGGAGAGCUUGCUCUCUGGGUGGCGAGUGGCGGACGGGUGAGGAAUACAUCGGAAUCUACUCUGUCGUGGGGGAUAACGUAGGGAAAUUUACGCUAAUACCGCAUACGACCUACGGGUGAAAGCAGGGGACCUUCGGGCCUUGCGCGAUUGAAUGAGCCGAUGUCGGAUUAGCUAGUUGGCGGGGUAAAGGCCCACCAAGGCGACGAUCCGUAGCUGGUCUGAGAGGAUGAUCAGCCACACUGGAACUGAGACACGGUCCAGACUCCUACGGGAGGCAGCAGUGGGGAAUAUUGGACAAUGGGCGCAAGCCUGAUCCAGCCAUACCGCGUGGGUGAAGAAGGCCUUCGGGUUGUAAAGCCCUUUUGUUGGGAAAGAAAUCCAGCUGGCUAAUACCCGGUUGGGAUGACGGUACCCAAAGAAUAAGCACCGGCUAACUUCGUGCCAGCCGCCGCAGUAA